This 253-nucleotide ribosomal RNA is filed under the name uncultured bacterium. Its description in RNAcentral is "partial 16S ribosomal RNA". It matches the Rfam family "Bacterial small subunit ribosomal RNA", at positions 524 to 776 of the family's 1533-position model. The record is from RNAcentral.
UACGAAGGGGGCUAGCGUUGUUCGGAAUUACUGGGCGUAAAGGGCGCGUAGGCGGCUCUGUGCGUCGUGCGUGAAAGGCCUGGGCUCAACCCAGGAAUGGCGCACGAUACGACGGAGCUAGAGUGCAGGAGAGGAUGGUGGAAUUCCCAGUGUAGAGGUGAAAUUCGUAGAUAUUGGGAAGAACACCGGUGGCGAAGGCGGCCAUCUGGACUGCAACUGACGCUGAGGCGCGAAAGCGUGGGGAGCAAACAGG